GAUGAAGAAUGCAGCGAAAUGCGAUAAGUAGUGUGAAUUGCAGAAUUCAGUGAAUCAUCGAAUCUUUGAACGCACAUUGCGCCCCUUGGUAUUCCAUGGGGCAUGCCUGUUCGAGCGUCAUUUGUACCUUCAAGCUCUGCUUGGUGUUGGGUGUUUGUCUCGCCUCUGCGUGUAGACUCGCCUCAAAACAAUUGGCAGCCGGCGUAUUGAUUUCGGAGCGCAGUACAUCUCGCGCUUUGCACUCAUAACGACGACGUCCAAAAGUACAUUUUUACACUCUUGACCUCGGAUCAGGUAGGGAUACCCGCUGAACUUAAGCAUAUCAAUAAGCGGAGGA
This 337-nucleotide unclassified non-coding RNA is filed under the name soil metagenome. Its description in RNAcentral is "partial contains 5.8S ribosomal RNA, internal transcribed spacer 2, and large subunit ribosomal RNA". The stretch from base 1 to 120 matches the Rfam family "5.8S ribosomal RNA", at positions 35 to 154 of the family's 154-position model. The record is from RNAcentral.